GACGAACGCUGGCGGCGUGCUUAACACAUGCAAGUCGAACGGAAAGGCCCUGCUUUUGUGGGGUGCUCGAGUGGCGAACGGGUGAGUAACACGUGAGUAACCUGCCCUUGACUUUGGGAUAACUUCAGGAAACUGGGGCUAAUACCGGAUAGGAGCUCCUGCUGCAUGGUGGGGGUUGGAAAGUUUCGGCGGUUGGGGAUGGACUCGCGGCUUAUCAGCUUGUUGGUGGGGUAGUGGCUUACCAAGGCUUUGACGGGUAGCCGGCCUGAGAGGGUGACCGGCCACAUGGGGACUGAGAUACGGCCCAGACUCGUACGGGAGGCAGCAGUGGGGAAUAUUGCACAAUGGGCGGAAGCCUGAUGCAGCAACGCCGCGUGCGGGAUGACGGCCUUCGGGUUAUAAACCGCUUUCGCCUGUGACGAAGCGUGAGUGACGGUAAUGGGUAAAGAAGCACCGGCUAACUACGUG
Molecule: ribosomal RNA, 468 nt
Filed under: uncultured bacterium
Lineage: Bacteria
Description: partial 16S ribosomal RNA
Rfam family: Bacterial small subunit ribosomal RNA
Source: RNAcentral